AAAGCUGAUUGAUGGGGUGCUUAAAUGUGCAUUUUUUUUACAUAAAAAAUAAGAGUAAGGUAAAACGACUGAAAUAUGUCUCAUAAUUCUGUAAAAGCAUAUGAAAAUUAAAAAUGUAAGUUGAUAACCCCAUCUUUGUUAAGUCGGUUGUACCAUAUUAAUCUUACCAAAUUUUAAAAGAUACUACAAAAAAGCGGCCAAUUAAACAGCUUCUCAUUGUAGAUAAUUCUUCACUUUUAACAUAUCCCGCCUGACGCUUGAAUAUCUGAUCUUUCUUAGAAAUUACCCAAAUAAACGAGGCGAUUAACAGAAAAGAAAAUACCCCCCCCCCAAAAAAAAAAAAAGAAAAAAUGUGCAAAAAAAAAAAGAAAAAAGACUGAAAAAUGGGGUGCUAAAAUGUACAAUUUUCUUAUAUAAAAAUUAAGAAUAAGGUAAUUCUCGCUACAUUGAAGACCUGUUAAUGACCUUCUGCUGUUGUUUUUUCUAUGGUCGGGUUGUUGUCUCUUUGACACAUUCCCCAUUUCCAUUCUCAAUUUUAAAACGAGUGAAAUAUUGAACUGGUCGUAAUCGGAAUUGGUCAAUUGAUGUACGUAAGCAUUGCAAUUUCUGUACAUCCAUAACCAUCAGUAUUUUGCUCAAAAAUCACGAUCUUACAUCAGGAGUUAACAAAUCUUGAGGUAUCAUUUCGUCCACUAUUACAGACAAAGUCAACCUAACAUCCUUCUCCAGCAUUGUGUCAGAAAUUAAAAAAAAAAAUAAUGCAUAUGUUUUUUAUAACUCAAUGGAUAGUUUUCAUUAUAAAACUUAUGUACGAUAUACUUUUUUU
Molecule: long non-coding RNA, 826 nt
Filed under: Mytilus galloprovincialis (Mediterranean mussel)
Lineage: Eukaryota; Metazoa; Mollusca; Bivalvia; Mytilida; Mytilidae
Source: RNAcentral